UGAAAUAGGGGGUUUCGACAACUUCCCACAAACUCAUGCUCAUUACGAAAAGGAAUGAGAUCCUCCGUGGCGAUACAAAGAUAUGCAGAGGUGGAGGCGGAGGAAGAAGAUGAUGGACGCGACGCCAGCAGAAACCGGAGAGUAUUGGGCGGAAGCAUGUCGGUGGCGGAGAGAGAGAGAGAAAGAUCAGGUUAAAUUGGAGUCGGCCAAGCCCAAUUUGAUUCGGGCCGUCCGAUCCAUUAUUUAGCAGAUAGGCACAAAGAUUAUGGCCGUUCGGCAGUUGGCCUCUCUCCUCGAUCCUUUUCGCUUCUCUAUCCGUUAACACGUUACCCCUUCAGAUACCGGUGUAGUUGUUGGUAACGUACAUAGGCCCUACAGGAUCUACCGACUGGGAAUUAAUCGGGAUAAAAUUAAGGGUAAGAUCCAGGGGUGGCCAAGAUUCAGUUUUCUUGGCGAUAAAGAUGUGCGGCUUUCCGUAGCCCGCCUUCUUCCUCUCUCAAUUCCCCUCGCAUCUCUCCUCAUAGAAAACAGAUCAUCUUCUAUGUCGCACGAUUUCUUGUGAUUUCUUUCCGUUAUUGCAUGUUCCUCUCGACUACCAUCGGCUUUUCGGCUUAAUUUUGGAUAUCGCUGUGGAGUUUUGCUCGGAAAUAAGGCGCUGUAUUUUCGGCUUUUGGUGCGGGAUUUUCUUCCUGGGUACAUCUUUGAUCGCAGUCACGAUUUGGGUUGGGAAAGAUUUCAAGAUUUCUUUUGGUUGGACUGGGUUCGAUAGAUUUAGGUUUUCUUGUGGUCUCUGGAAGGGCGAAAAUUCCUAUGAGACGUUUCUCGAGUGCCCUUUCUUGCGGUUUCUUAUCUGCGGUGAAAAAGACAUGAGUUUGAGUGGCAAGAUUUCAAGAUUUCUUUUGGUUGGACUGGGUUCGAUAGAUUUAGGUUUUCUUGUGGUCUCUGGAAGGGCGAAAAUUCCUAUGAGACGUUUCUCGAGUGCCCUUUCUUGCGGUUUCUUAUCUGCGGUGAAAAAGACAUGAGUUUGAGUGGCAAGAUUUCAAGAUUUCUUUUGGUUGGACUGGGUUCGAUAGAUUUAGGUUUUCUUGUGGUCUCUGGAAGGGCGAAAAUUCCUAUGAGACGUUUCUCGAGUGCCCUUUCUUGCGGUUUCUUAUCUGCGGUGAAAAAGACAUGAGUUUGAGUGGCAAGAUCCGUAAAGUUUGUAAUAGGAAUAGGCCCUCUGCUGUGGUGGAAUCUGUGAAGGGUGCUAACAGGAGAGAAGAGGCAGAAGCCGAGAAGGAAUCUCUUUUGCCUGCAGAAGAGAGUGGAGGAGUGGCGACCGGUAGGGGGAAGAAGGACUCGGCGAGGAACGUCCAGUGGAAUGAUUGCAAAGGCGACAAUCUGGUAGAGAUUUUGGAAUUCCAGCCCAGUGAUUCAAGCGACUCUGAGGAUGAGUAUUUGGAUUCUUGUUUGUGCACCAUUAUGUAAAUCUUCUGCACAGAUUACAUCGUUUCUGCAGUAGAAGUAUUCAAUACCAACAGAUUGUGGGAGGCUCUAAUCACAGAAUACAUAGUCUGCAUUGCUCACUAUUUAUUUAGUUGAUGUAGUGGAAAAUCUUGAGGAUGACCUUUAUUAUUGCUUGACUUGAAAGUGUUGCUGCCUAUCAAAGAGAGAAUCUUUCUUGACAUUUUAAACUUGUUUUGUCGGAAGAAUUAUGCACAUUCCAUA
Long non-coding RNA from Musa acuminata AAA Group (dessert banana), 1707 nucleotides. RefSeq lists it as uncharacterized. NCBI's taxonomy places the organism in Eukaryota, Viridiplantae, Streptophyta, Magnoliopsida, Zingiberales, Musaceae. The record is from RefSeq and is a predicted model, not a curated record. The transcript has 2 exons.